AAUACCUUAACUUUGAGUGCCCAUACCUCCUUCAUAUAUAAUCCAAAUCACACAUAAUUCAUACCAAAACCAUAGCCAAAAACCUAAACUUACUGAUCUUAGCCUCCAAAGCUUAAAUCCCCCCAAAAGACUAAUCUUAAUCCCUAAUAUGGCCUCGGACAGCCUUCUUGAAGCCCAUUGGUCAUGAUUUUUGACCAAUAAGAAUAGAGAUUUAUAUUAUUCAUCUCCAUUCAUCCAUAUGGAUGCCUUAAUUAUCCUUUUUGCUACCAAAUCCCUCUCAAAUCCUUUUUCUUAUAAGAUUUAUAUAAUAUAUGUCCUAAACGUUGAAUCAAAGAACCAAAAUAAGACUUUAAGCAUCACUAAU
Molecule: long non-coding RNA, 364 nt
Filed under: Physcomitrium patens
Lineage: Eukaryota; Viridiplantae; Streptophyta; Bryopsida; Funariales; Funariaceae
Description: long non-coding RNA (PPAT_LNC001890)
Source: RNAcentral